This 377-nucleotide ribosomal RNA is filed under the name uncultured Glomeromycotina. RNAcentral describes it as "eukaryotic LSU rRNA". The record is from RNAcentral. Lineage: Eukaryota; Fungi; Glomeromycota.
UUGAAAGGGAAACGAUUGAAGUCAGUCGUACCGACGGAAAAUCAGCUCUUCGAGUGCGAACUUGUGGGCGUACGUGAGCUUUAACGGGCCUUGUUGUUUGCGAUGUUUGUGCUUUUUGGGUGUACUUUUUCGUAUGGUAGGCCAACGUCAGUCUCGGUCACCAUAAAAUGGUCAGAGGAAUGUAGCUUCGAUCUUGUAUUGAAGUGUUAUAGCCUCUGGUGGAUGUGGUGAACGAAACUGAGGAUUGCAACGAAUACCCUUCGGGCUAUCCGUCUGACCUCUGAAAGUUGCUUGGGUGCCGAAAGCUUGCUUACGGUCAUUCAUGAUGACGGUCAAAAGGUUAGAACGUGAUUACAUUCGUUAAGGAUGUUGACGUA